This 397-nucleotide ribosomal RNA is filed under the name uncultured bacterium. Its description in RNAcentral is "partial 16S ribosomal RNA". It matches the Rfam family "Bacterial small subunit ribosomal RNA", at positions 523 to 918 of the family's 1533-position model. The record is from RNAcentral.
AUACGUAGGGGGCGAGCGUUGUCCGGAAUGAUUGGGCGUAAAGGGCGCGUAGGCGGCUUUGCAAGUCAGUAGUGGAAGUCCAUUUUUCAAGGAUGGAAGUGCUACAGAAACUGCGGAGCUUGAGUGCAGGAGAGGUUAUCGGAAUUCCCGGUGUAGCGGUGAAAUGCGUAGAGCUCGGGAGGAACACCAGUGGCGAAGGCGGGUAACUGGACUGCAACUGACGCUGAGGCGCGAAAGUGUGGGGAGCAAACAGGAUUAGAUACCCUGGUAGUCCACACUGUAAACGAUGAAUGCUAGGUGUGGGAGGUAUCGACCCCUUCUGUGCCGCAGUAAACACAGUAAGCAUUCCGCCUGGGGAGUACGGUCGCAAGAUUAAAACUCAAAGGAAUUGACGGGG